This is a non-coding RNA of Peromyscus maniculatus bairdii (prairie deer mouse), 9507 nucleotides long. The record is from RefSeq and is a predicted model, not a curated record. NCBI's taxonomy places the organism in Eukaryota, Metazoa, Chordata, Mammalia, Rodentia, Cricetidae.
UCACGGUAAUACUUACUUACAGAUUUAUUCAUUCACCUGAAUAUUUAUUUAUUUGUUUAUUUAUUUAUUUAUUGACUCCUGGAUUAUUUAUAUAUUUAUCUAUUGGUUCACCAUAUCAUUUAUGUAUUUAUUCAUGCUCAUGGGAUUAUUUAUUUACUUAUUUAUUGGCUUGCUGUAAUGCUUACUUAUUUAUUUAUUUACUUUCUGUAAUGCUUAUAUCAGUUCCCAGCCAAGGAAGUAACACCAGUUGGAGGCACAAAGCUACAUGCUGGUAUAUGGCUCAUAUCUGGGGAAUUUGUUUGUUGACAAUGUACCAUCUUUGGUACUCCACAUUUGAAUGCACUCCCCCAAAAACGCUGUCAAAACAAAAUUGCAAUUGUCACCUCAACGAGAGUAAAGAAUUUAUGCAAGGGAAGAAUUAGAAGGUUCAUAGCUUAGGAACAUAGAUUCAAGUUGCCUCAUAUCACUGUUCUUGUGUAGGACCAGUUGUCUGAAGCAAAACAAGGUCAUAAAUGGGGAAAAAUCAGGGAGGGAAGUUAUAAUAAAGUGGGAAAAUCUAAAUUCCAAGAAUCAGGUUCUAUUUGAUGACAUUCUUAGAUUUUGAUGUAUUGAAAGCUAGGGUCUUAUUAAGAAUGCAUUUUAAAAGUUUUGAUAGUCAUCAGGAUGUUAUGUUAGAAUUAGAUGUGGUCAAUGAGUCACUUUCAAAGUGGCAAAAAAUAGCUAGCACAAGAUAAAGUCAUUUGUCAUUUGCUAUUAUAGAAUCAUCAAUAGGUAAGCUGCCAUUUUUGUACCUUCUGGAGACAUCAGGUAACAAUUAAAAUUUCAUGACAAAAACCUUUGUAAAAACAAUGGGCUUUUGAUAAUCUGUGGUGACAGAUAGAAACUUUAGAUGAUUUAUGUGUGGAAAGAGAUAAUUAUCUACUAUAUUUAGUUUUAUGAAACCCUGGAUCUUAUUCUUACUUUGCUGCUGGUAUAUGUUUGUCUAUGAAUUGUUAGUUUGCACAUUUAUUCAAUUGUGUUUUUAACCUGGGGAUUAAACUCUAGGGCCUUGAGUACUGUUUCUUGCGUAGUGUUAAAAUGGAUGGGAAAAGGAUCUGUUUGAAUUUUGUUUGCUUGUUUGUGUUUUGGCUUGUUUUUUUUUUUUAUUUUACUUGAUUUUUUUUACUUUUGAAACAUUGUCUUAUUAUAUAACUCAGCCAAACUGGCAUCCAGGUCACAAUAUUCCUGCCUCAGUAUCCUAAGUGUGGGACUACAGACUUGCAUUAAUCCUACUCAUUUGUUUAAUCAUUCACAUUAAUUUUUUUAUUUAUUAUUCUUUCAUUUAUUUAAUUAGUGUGUGUCUGUAUGUGUGUACACAUGUGUGCUUGUGUGUGUGCUUGUGUGCGUGCUUGUGUGCAUGCAUGCAUCAAUGCACAUGGGCUCCAGUGCUUUCUCUAUCCGUGGUGUUCUUGUGGCGAUCAACUUUCAGGACUCAGUUCUUUUUUCAGUUCAUUGUCUGUCAAGCUGUCUCUACUUGAGUUAGUAUAUAAAGCUUAUCACUGAUUCUCAUGCUAGGAUCUCAUGUGGUAAGAUUACUGGGUAUUUUUUUUUAAUUUUAUUUAAUUUAUUUGUGUGUGUGUUUGUGUGUGUAUGAGAGAGAUAGAUACAGAAAGAAUGCAUGAAUGAGCAUUGACGUUUGAACUCAAGAUGUCCUAUAUAUCUCAUUAGAUAACCAUAAACUUAUCCUCCAUACACUCAACAUUGUUUUUCGUGGUGUUAAUUUAGCCCAGGAUCUUGUUCUUGUGAAACAAUUGCUCUGUUACUGAAACAUACCUGUAAACCAUAAGUUACUUUCGAAAUCAGGCCCCUCAAACUCACUGUCUUUCCUACCACUUCAGUACCUGGUAACUACCUACCACGUUCCAUUUUUUACAUAAUUUUUGGUAAAUACCUUUUAGAGGACCUUGGCUGGAUUUAUGAUGAGAUAUGUUUACUGAGCAUGAUGAAAUGAGGCUCAAUGAUUACUCUGAAGUCUAGCCAAAGUGUCAUAUUAAUGACUUAGGUAACAAAAUUUUGAAACUUAAGUUAUUAGAAUAUGAUAUCACAAAUUUUUUUCAAGGAGACUUGAGCUGUAGAUUUUUCCAAUAUAGCAAAAUUGGUUUUAUACUCGUUACAUUUCCUUUUGUAAAGUGCCUCUAUGUUCACAUCACAUAAUAGCAUUCACCUUGAUUUUCAUUUGAUAAAGAAACUUGAGAAAGACCUUGGAAGCUAAUGUGUCUUUUUCCAGUUACCCAGUUCUUACCCUGGGUUAUAGUUUCUUGAGCAUGUUCCUAGUCAUUCUGAUAGCUUUUCCAUUUAAUAUAUUGAGGUAUUGCUAGAUUGUUAGUAAGACAUUCAGUGAUUUUGAAAAAGAUAGGAAUUUGAUAUUUACCAGAAUGCUGAGAUGGAAUUCAGAGAGGUUAAUUUAUCUUUAUCCUCACAAGGCAUUGGUGGAAUAGAGAAAGUGUUACUAUGAUAUAAACGGGGAGGUGAAUUAACUUUGUGAUUGCUGAUACUGAGUGUGAGUAAUUAUUAAAUUGUUUAAUUUUUGGCAGCAAGAGAACUUAUUCCCUAUUUGGGAUACUUGUUUUGGCAGCGUCUGGAUAAUUAUCUAUAUACCAGUUUGGUUUUGUUCCUCUGACAUGCCUCCUUGAGCGUUUCUUUGUGUAAUAUCAGCUACUGAUAUAGUGUUUUCUUAAUGUGGGAUAUUCUCCUGCCUUUGUAAGAUUUACCUCUGAAUCUUUGCAUAUCUGCUUGUAUAUACAACAAGUAGAUUUAUGUUCUCAUACAAUUGUAAAUCAUCUCUAAAUCUUGAGGUUCUGAUAACUUUUAUAAAUGAUACAAUAUUACUUUAAGUAUAUACUAGCUGAUUUGCAUAAUUUAGUUAACAAAGAAAUGUAAGAUGGUUCUUGAUUAAACAAAGUAUUGUAUUUUCAUGGUUCAGAGUAAAAUCAGAAAAUAAUUGUAUUUAUUUUUUGGUUUAUUUUGUAAAAAUCACUUAGAUUUUGAACAAGAAUAUGGUAUGUGAAAUGAUUGCUGUGAUAAAAUAAGUAACCACAAGAGAAAUUUCUAUUACAUAUUUGGUAAAAAUCAUCAUUUCAUAAAGAUUAUGGCAAGCAAGUUAAUGUUAUAUUCAUGUUUUAAGUUGCUAAGGAUAAUGUGAAACAAGGGGCUAUAAAAAGUGUAUAAAAUAUAAAUUGCAAAAAGUCAUUAUUUUCACUACAUUUGAGAAGUCAUUCAAAUAUGAUUGUCAUUUUCUUUAUGAGGAUUACAAUUGUGGUGUUUGUUAAAAUAUAGAAGAAAUGUUUUUAAAUAGUUUCAUAAUAAAAGUAGAAUUUCUAUAGUAUAGUACAAUCUUUUAUUGGAUUAUUGUGGCUAUCCUUUCAUUGAGUACUUAUUUAUAUAUGUUAGUCAUGGUUAUGUUUGUCAAAGAAGCUUAUGUUUAUUUACUUAACAAAUUUCUUUGUCAUGAUGGAAUUCAGAAAAACAUCACCCUGUUAUAUCUAGGAUUGAAUAUUCUUUUACAUUGAAAUGUGUAUAAUAGAAUAAUGCACCAUGUUAAUUUAAUCUUAUAAAGAAAAGUGAUGAUUUUUGCAUUUGAAGAUCAUUAAAUUACUAGAAUUAUUUUAUUGCUUGUUCAGGAAAUUCUAGACUGUUUUUAUGCCAUGUUAAAAAGGAUUCAGUAGAUAAGAGGGUACCAUUGAGAGAGAUGAUUUUUACAUGGCUAUAUCCCUAUGAGAAAUUAUUAGGUAUGUUUUGUGGAUGAAUCUGAUGCCAAGGAAUACUUGUCCUUUAUGAUAGGAAAGUUGUCUGUGAACAAAAGUCUAGUGACCCUAUGUUAUUAGUCCCCAAGUAUCAUCAUUAUUUCAAAGACAUAGUACAUAUUAUAUUCUUUAACAUUUGUGUCAUAUCCAUAUAACUAACAUCAUUUACAGCAUUUUCUUACAUGAUAUAAAUAAAAUGUACAUUUUUUGCUGUUUUAAAUUUUUAGUCUUUGAUGUAAGUAUGAUUGUCCCAUAUUACAUGUAUGUACAUGCAAUAUGAUAUACAUAUUAAUUCAUGAGUAUGUCUAUACUAAGAUAAAACAAUAGUUGCUGAAAUACAAGAUUACAAUUUUUUUUGUCACCAGAGAAUAUGAUACAGCAAUGUUUUGCUGUAUCAUACUUUGGAUUUAUAAAAUUAGUCAGUUACAUUCAACAAACACCAGAUUUCUGUCAGUGAAUCUUCCAUGGUUCCAUUUAUCAGUCAUGUUUUUGGAACUGAAUCUUUUAUUGUCAGAAAAGUAAGCUACAUAAUAAGAUUUGAUCCCCCUUCCCUCUGUUUAAAUAUUUGUGAGGACUGUAACAGUUGUUCUAAGUAAUGCAUAUUGUGCAGACUUUUUAUCCAAUCUAAUUCUCAACUUGUUUCUACUAGUAUCUCUUCAUUUUUUAAAAUGUAACCUGGCAGUGUUUGACUACCCCAGAAAUAAUAGACUGACUUUGUGUAGACUGUCUGAAAUUCCUACAUUUGUAGAAACACCAACUCCCAUCAACUACCAUAUACACAUGGUGUUAAUAAUAAGAUUUAAUCAUUAGAACUAUCAAUAUCAAUUUUGUAUUUAAUUUAUAUGAGGUUUAUUUGAACCACUUCAUAUAUAUACGACUACUUUUGACUAUCUGCAUAAUUUGUGAUUACAUUUUCUGAAUAUAUUUUACUUUCAAAAUUUAGAAUAAGUGCUUUUGUGUGAUAAAAUGUUUUAAAACUCUGUUUCAAAUGUAUGUAGCUACAUUAUUUUAAAAACUUCAUGAGUAGAGAAUAACUUUUCUUUAUGGAAAGUUAUAUUUAAACAUUUGUCCUGUAAUAGUUCAGAUUUUCAAUGUAUAGACUAUAGGAAAAGAAUAAAUUAUUUUUGUUGUUAAAAUCCUUAUCUUUAUGUAGGUUUCAUUGUGUUGUAUGCUAAAGCUGUAUUACCUGAACAUAGUGUUAGCAAAGUCCUCUUUUAAUAUAUAUAGUACAAAAAUAUAUGUGUGUAUAUUCUACCAUGUUGUCAAGAAAAUUAUUUAGGAGUAUAACUCAAAUAUAAGCAUAAAAUAUCACUGUCCUUUGAAAAAUGUGUAUGCUAUAUAAAAGGCAUGUAGCUUCAUUUUAUUUUUCUGAUCACUGAGAAUUGUGAUGCAAUUUAUUUCUCCAAAUGAUCUAGAUAUUUCAGAAUUACAUAGUUCUGUAUUCAUCAGAUACAUGGCAAGAAUUAACGUUGUAAGUAAUAAGCUAUUUUUUAUAUCAAGCAACUGGUAAUUCUAGAGAUACUGAGACUUAGAAAUUAUAAGCUUAUAAAUAUAUUGUAAAUACUGUUGUCUAUUACAAUUAAUAUGACAAACUGAUAGUUUAUAGAGGGAAUCAUGGAGCUCACAGUUUUUCAUGUUUGUUUGAAUGUUAAAGGAGAAAUUAUAAACACUAUGCAUAUACUCUAUUCUCAUACUAGGAUAGUUGACCAUUUUUUCAUGUGAGUUGCACAUUAAAAAAUGACAUGGUAGGUAAUUCAGUUGGCUUCUUGAGCAAUAAUGAGCCUACUGAUGCACCUCUUUUCUACUUUUUUUUUGUCAACUUUCAUGAAGAUUUUGUACUACCUCUUGGGACACUACAAAGUUUUGUAUGUGUUUCCUGGUUGCAUGACAAUAUUCAAGACAACUUUGUAAAUAAUAGUCAAAUACAAAAUUUUAACAUCUAGUCUUUCUAGAUGUAUAGAGUGUCACAGGGUAUAAUUUUGUAAAUACAUCAUUGUAAACUUUCAUUGCAUCCACUAAAUUUCGGGAAUGAAAUUUUUAAAGUUGAGAUUUUUUCUACUUUAUGUUUAUUGUUAGGGGGGUGAGUUUUCUUGAGAAUAUUUAAAUUUAACUUUGGCUACAUAAUCUCAAGAAAAGUCUUCAUUAACCAUAGGAUAAGUAAGGUUUAUAUUGUACAUUUAAGAGUGCAAAUUAUAAUUCUGUGGUUGUAUUAAUGAUAGGCCAUCAUGUUAAAAUACCUUGUUAAUUACUAUAGAUAAAUACUCUUAAGAAGAGUUACUUCUACCUCUGAAUUAAUAAACCCUUAUAUUUACAUUGCAUGACAGCAUUCAAGACAUGUUGUAAAUAACUGAUAAAUAUUUCCAUUUGAAAAAUUCCUUUUUUAGAUAUACAUUCUUAACAAAAUAUAAGCCUGUGAAUAUUUCACUGUAAUCUAACAUUAAUAAAAUUAUUCCAGCAAAUGCUUUUUCAAUGCAAUAGAUAAGGACUACUCAGUUUACUAAGUAUAAAAAGGUUUCUAAGUAGUUUCUCAUGGAGGGAAGAAUAAGCUAGGUCUUAUUUUUACUUGGAGAAAAAUUAAAGAAUAGAAUUAGAUACUUUUUAUCUACAUGAAGAAAGAUGAGCAGUAAAAAAGAAUUAAAAUUAAUGAUAUAAUUACAAAAGCAUUGUUUCUUGCUUAUUUAAUCUAGGCAAAUUUGUUUAUAUCUAUAAUUAUAUUACAUUCACAUACAUUUUAUGUUAUAGUAGUAUAUAAACUACUUAGUUUUCAUCUUUCAUGUGUUUUUGUUUGUUUUUACAUUACUAUUCCCACUCUACAAAUUAAAAAUUAAUAUUUUAGUUCUAAUUCAGAUUAUUUAGCAAUCUCAAUGCUAUUGAUAGACACAUUUUGUGUUGAUGAAGAGCCUAUAACUUUGUUUGUUUGUUUAUACAUCUUAUAAAUUUAUUUAUGUAUGUAUAUAUCUUCAGUGUAUAAUAUUUUAAAAACAUGUUUUAUUUUUGUAUAAUUUUCAUGUAGGAUUAUUAAAGGUAAACAUCUGGUGUUCCCUCUAAUGUACUGUAAGCAAAAGUAGCUUGUAUGACAUUAAAGGCAAUAUAAAUUAUAGAGCUGGGCUUGAUGAGGAACACUUAUACCAGCACCUGCCAAGAUUAUACUCGGCUACAUACCCAGUUUGAGGCCAGUCAUGGGUCAUAAGACCCUGUGUCAGAAGAAAACAUGAAAGCCAAAAAAAACCCACUGAAUACCUUCCUACAAAAUCAGGAAUUAUAAGACUAUUUAAUUUUUUUUUUGAUAUUUUGGAGUUGGCUACUAAGAUUUUUAUCAUUUCUGAUUCUCAAAUUUAAUUGUUGAAUAUAAAAAUAGUAAAAUGCCAGAUCUGUCAGUGAACAGAUCAUAAGGAUUAUAGCUUAAUGUGAAUGUAAUUUAGUAUUUGAAAUAUCCUUUUUCUAUAGAAAUGGUGUUUGUUGAAUUUUAAUUGAAGGUAUGUACAAUUGACCUACAUGUAGAUACAUUUUAGUUCUUCCAAUUAAAGUGGAUAAUUAUGGAAAUGUUAAUUGCAAAUAGGAAAUAUCAGUCUGAAAGUUAAUACUUCUGUAUUAUGAUGUAUGUUAUUUUCUAGUAAUGAUUGAAGAUUUAUUCAAGUGAUUUAAACAGUGUAUUCAUGCUUGGAAAUUGUCACAUGAGAACAUCUAGUACAAAUGAACAAUUUAUGCAAACAGAAAACAUGUUCAGGAAGAAUGUUUUAAUACUUCAAAAUAGAAAGGAGUAAGACCACUUCUAUCUGCCUUUGUAUUUUAGAAGGGCCUUUGCAAAUAAGCAACUAAACAACAAAAAAGAGACAAUUUAUGCCUGUACCUUUGAUUGUCAACAUCAUGGGAGUGAUGGGUUGCCAUAUCCAACUUUCUAUUCCUAGCAGCCCUUAUGAAUGGUUUUUGCACAUUUUUGUGAAGAAUUUUAGACACUCCAGCACCUUAUGUGUCAACAAUGAGUUUCAUUAUCCAAUAAUAAAAAGGAGAAGAUGAAAGUUCACGUAAUUAUGAUGACAGACUUAUUAAACCUACUGUGAUAGCAACUUCUGGAGUCUACGAAAAUUUACUUUACUAAAGUGAACAACAAACUAUAGGUGAUCACCAAAAUAGAUAAUCAUUGUAUCUACAACCUUCAUAAUUGUAAAAAGAUCUCAGAAGGUGUUGCGUGACUAAUCUUAUUGAUCAUUAAAACUGAACUCAACUUAUUGGAUGGAGACUGAAAUAUGUCUUUGAAGAAAAUAUUUUAUAUAUAUUUAAAGAUUUUCAUUGAUUUUGUUGGACUAACUCAAUAAAUGGAGACACUACCACAUGGAUAAAAAUAGUAUGAUGGAACUGACAUUGCCUUCACAGUGUUUUCAUAAGUACGAAGUGCUUCUCAUGAUAAUAACGACUUCAUGGUAUUCUUGAAGCUGAUUUGAAAGUAUUACCUGUAUGUAGUCAAAUUUUUCCUCAGAGUUGAUGCUUACAAUUAUUUGUCAAGUUGGAAAAAAUGCACUUUUAAUUUCAUUUGCACCACAUUUAAUAGAUUAAGUAGGAGAGAAUAGAUUUCUUUAAAAUUGAGUCUUCCUAUACAACCUCAAGACAAAAAAGAGGAAAUGUGAUGAUGUAUUGUGUCUGCAAUAUAUUGUGAACCCUAAUCAAGUUAAUCUGAUGAUUGGAGGAGAAAGCCAGCUACUAAAGAAAACAUAGAAGUCAUGCAAUAAUAGCACAUGCCUUUAAUCCUAUCACUCGGGAGGCAGAUCCAUCUGAAUCUCUGUGAUUUCAAGACUACACUGGGAACAGAGCCAGGCAUGUAUGCAGGUGCCUGAGGAGUAGAGAAGAUUAUAUUGGAUCCUACUGGAGCUUCGGUUGUGAGCUUCCCAACAUGGGUGCAAGGAACCAAACUUGGGUCUUCUAGAAGGAGGAUUCUGGGAUUACAAUCACGUAUCACAGCACCAGGUUUAUGAGGUUCUGGGGCUCAAACUCAUAGAUUCCUGAAGGCUGGAUAACUACUCUACCAAUUGAAAUACUACACCCAAACCAAAGGAAUAGUGUUGCACAACUCUAGUCCUAGCUACUCAAGACUUAAUACAGGAAGAUUGAAAGUUUGAGGUCAGCUUGGCAACAGUGAGACCUCUUCUCCGCAUCUCAACAACAAAAAAGGUGGUGGCCAAAUAUACCUUCUGAAGAGGUUUUAUCAUCAGAAUUUCCCUAAUACACUUAUUGUAUUUACUGUUUCUGGAGUCUUAUUCAACCCUUAUCAUCUCACAACUUGUAUAGAAGACUUCAGUGGAAUAUAAAAGACCUGGUUUUGGCAAGUAAUUGACUGGGACGUUCAGUACUUCUGCUUUCAGUAUAUCUUGUACUCACAUAUUGUAUGUUACCUCUUUUCUUAUUCAUAUUUUACUUUUUAAAUGGAAGAGACUUUUAUGUGUAGGUAGUACAAUUAUUGUACACAGAUAUUUUUAUGAUACUUCAGAUAAUAAGAAGGUUUUCUGACUAAUUGACUUUCCCUGUAUACCAGUUUUGUUAUCAUUUGUGAGAUGGUUUCAUCCUCCUUUAAACAAGAAACUCAAAUUUCAGGCAAUCCUCAGAGAAGAUCAUCUUCCACAGUCGUAUUCUCUAGGGAAGACCCUCCUCUGGUUUCUGUUUUAUUGGUAUUACUGGCCUCUGUUUGGGCCAGGAAAGUGAGUCUCUGUGGUUUAUCUUUUCUCCAAUACCU